UGAAGCGGCAACAGCUCAAAUUUGAAAUGCUAGCCUUCUGGUUCGCAUUGUAAUUUGUAGAGGAUGAUUUGGGGAAGCCGCCUGUCUAAGUUCCUUGGAACAGGACGUCAUAGAGGGUGAGAAUCCCGUAUGUGACAGGAAAUGGCACCCUAUGUAAAUCUCCUUCUACGAGUCGAGUUGUUUGGGAAUGCAGCUCUAAAUGGGAGGUAAAUUUCUUCUAAAGCUAAAUAUUGGCGAGAGACCGAUAGCGCACAAGUAGAGUGAUCGAAAGAUGAAAAGCACUUUGGAAAGAGAGUUAAAAAGCACGUGAAAUUGUUGAAAGGGAAGCGCUUGCAAUCAGACUUGUUUAAACUGUUCGGCCGGUCUUCUGACCGGUUUACUCAGUUUGGACAGGCCAGCAUCAUUUUCUGCGGCCGGAUAAAGGCUCUGGGAAUGUGGCCUCCACUUCGGUGGAGGUGUUAUAGCCCAGGGUGUAAUACGGCCAGCCGGGACUGAGGUCCGCGCUUCGGCUAGGAUGCUGGCGUAAUGGUUGUAAGCGACCCGUC
Molecule: ribosomal RNA, 545 nt
Filed under: Aureobasidium sp.
Lineage: Eukaryota; Fungi; Ascomycota; Dothideomycetes; Dothideales; Saccotheciaceae
Description: eukaryotic LSU rRNA
Rfam family: Eukaryotic large subunit ribosomal RNA
Source: RNAcentral